RNAcentral lists this ribosomal RNA (439 nucleotides) under uncultured bacterium. RNAcentral describes it as "partial 16S ribosomal RNA". It matches the Rfam family "Bacterial small subunit ribosomal RNA", at positions 339 to 795 of the family's 1533-position model. The record is from RNAcentral.
CUACGGGUCGCACCAGUGGGGAAUAUUGCACAAUGGACGAAAGUCUGAUGCAGCAACGCCGCGUGGAGGAUGACACAUUUCGGUGCGUAAACUCCUUUUAUAUAGGAAGAUAAUGACGGUACUAUAUGAAUAAGCGCCGGCUAACUCCGUGCCAGCAGCCGCGGUAAUACGGAGGGCGCAAGCGUUACUCGGAAUCACUGGGCGUAAAGAGCGUGUAGGCGGAUAGAUAAGUCAGGAGUGAAAUCCUAUGGCUCAACCAUAGAACUGCUCUUGAAACUGUCUAUCUAGAAUAUGGGAGGGGUAGAUGGAAUUUCUGGUGUAGGGGUAAAAUCCGUAGAGAUCAGAAGGAAUACCGAUUGCGAAGGCGAUCUACUGGAACAUUAUUGACGCUGAGACGCGAAAGCGUGGGGAGCAAACAGGAUUAGAUACCCCUGUAGUC